GAACACUUUUAGCAGUAACCACGACACAGUUUAACAACUUACGGGCGCAACGUCUAUAAUCUCCGGCUUCUCCCAGAUCAAAUACCCGUGUUGCCGAACUACAAUGAGUGUAAUAAUAAUUACUUUCCAUGGGACGGGGGUGGUGGUGGAGGGUGCUCGACCUGCGUAUCUUACGGUGGGUCCGCCGCAGGAGUUUGGCGAUCAAAACCAGAAAGCGUAACGUGCAAAACGGUUAUACGUGAAAUAGGUUCACAUCCAGUAUAUAUAAUAAAUAAUUAUUAUAAUGUGUAUAUGUAUAUGUGUACGUUGUAUAUCUUGGAAAACUUCAAAUUGGGUAUAACUUUAAAACAAAGUUUGAUAGCGGCGAGU
Molecule: non-coding RNA, 369 nt
Organism: Cinara cedri
Lineage: Eukaryota; Metazoa; Arthropoda; Insecta; Hemiptera; Aphididae
Source: the annotation of a GenBank genome assembly